This 253-nucleotide ribosomal RNA is filed under the name uncultured bacterium. Its description in RNAcentral is "partial 16S ribosomal RNA". It matches the Rfam family "Bacterial small subunit ribosomal RNA", at positions 524 to 776 of the family's 1533-position model. The record is from RNAcentral.
UACAGAGGGCCCAAGCGUUGUUCGGAUUUACUGGGCGUAAAGGGCGCGUAGGCGGUACUUCAAGUCAGGCGUGAAAGCCCCGGGCUCAACCUGGGAACCGCGCUUGAGACUGGAGAACUAGAGUUCGGGAGAGGAUGGUGGAAUUCCCAGUGUAGAGGUGAAAUUCGUAGAUAUUGGGAAGAACACCGAUGGCGAAGGCAGCCAUCUGGACCGACACUGACGCUGAGGCGCGAAAGCGUGGGGAGCAAACAGG